CAGCAGCCACGGGAAUACGUGGGGUGCGAGCGUUAAUCGGAAUUACUGGGCGUAAAGCGUGCGUAGGCGGUGAGUUAAGUCUGCUGUGAAAUCCCCGGGCUCAACCUAGGAAUGGCAGUGGAUACUGGUUCGCUAGAGUGUGUCAGAGGAUGGUGGAAUUCCCGGUGUAGCGGUGAAAUGCGUAGAGAUCGGGAGGAACAUCAGUGGCGAAGGCGGCCAUCUGGGCCAACACUGACACUGAGGCACGAAAGCGUGGGGAGCAAACAGGAUUAGAUACCCCAGUAGUCCCUGUCUCUUAUAC
This 301-nucleotide ribosomal RNA is filed under the name uncultured bacterium. RNAcentral's name for it is "partial 16S ribosomal RNA". It matches the Rfam family "Bacterial small subunit ribosomal RNA", at positions 509 to 807 of the family's 1533-position model. The record is from RNAcentral.